Molecule: long non-coding RNA, 1122 nt
Filed under: Felis catus (domestic cat)
Lineage: Eukaryota; Metazoa; Chordata; Mammalia; Carnivora; Felidae
Description: lncRNA (ENSFCAG00000051271.1)
Source: RNAcentral
AUGGGGGACGGUGGGGGGGGGGGUUCCCACCAGGACCGGCCACCAAACCGUAGUCCUCAGAACAAGGUGAGAGCGCAAGGCCCCUGCUCAGAUGUCAAGAUGACAAAGGAACUUCAGGUCAAGAGCCGGGCCCCGUGUGGCUCUGCAGGUGGCACAUGGAUGAAGCGGACCCCGUCCCUAACCGUCAGAGCCUCGUCCUCAUCUGGGCCGAGUCUCCGGGCACACAGAGAGGAGAGGCCCUCAAAAAAGACCCAGCCUGUCCCCCCUCAAAACAGGGACAGCCGGGGACCUGCUGCUCACCCAGACUUCCAUCUGGGCUGGUUGGUGCAGACUCCUACACUAAUGCACGUACACGUGCACAGGCCCACACAGAGACACAUGUAUACACAUACACACAUGCACACACAUGCAUGUGCACGGGUACACACACAGAUACGUGUGCGUGCACACAUAUAUGCACUGGUGCAGGUGUGUGCACACACAGGUGCACACACAUAUAGGCACACGAGCACACACACAGAUACAUGCAUGUGCACACAUGUAUGCAUGCUCACACAGGUGCACGCACACACACACACACGUGCUCGCACACAUGGUGCACACAGCACACACACACGCUCAGCGCCCUCCCCUCAGAUAUGCGGGAGUGAGCCCAGGUCAGGAUUUGCUGAAAUAGCAGCACAGCACCGAAGAGCAGCUGUCCUGGGCGCAGCUCAAAGGGGCAGCUCCCCCAGAUGGUGGGCAAACAAGUCAGCUCAGCCCUCCUGCCCCGAACCGGAGAUCCACGGAGCUGGCACGUGCCCGGAGACCCCCAGCUCCCUCCGCUCACGAAGGGGAAAGGAACAGGAGGCCACGAGGCCGACGACCGCCAAGGGGACGGGCCCCUGGCCUUGCCACCCGCACGUUCCUUGGGGGGGCGAGCGCGGGGGUUCCUCCUGCUCCACGCCACCUCCUCUCCUGGCAGACCCACUUACUGCCCCCGACACCUCACCUCCGCGGACUGCAGCAGCCACUCCGACAGAAACCGCUGGAGCAGAGGCCAAUGCGGCUCCACCGCCACCGACCUGCGCUCCCAACUGCUGGGAAUCUGUUUCACAUUACGCGGCUAUACGCGGAUGUUAG